UAUUAACUCUGGCGGCGUGCCUAAUACAUGCAAGUCGAGCGAACAGACGAGGAGCUUGCUCCUCUGACGUUAGCGGCGGACGGGUGAGUAACACGUGGAUAACCUACCUAUAAGACUGGGAUAACUUCGGGAAACCGGAGCUAAUACCGGAUAAUAUAUUGAACCGCAUGGUUCAAUAGUGAAAGACGGUUUUGCUGUCACUUAUAGAUGGAUCCGCGCCGCAUUAGCUAGUUGGUAAGGUAACGGCUUACCAAGGCAACGAUGCGUAGCCGACCUGAGAGGGUGAUCGGCCACACUGGAACUGAGACACGGUCCAGACUCCUACGGGAGGCAGCAGUAGGGAAUCUUCCGCAAUGGGCGAAAGCUUGACGGAGCAACGCCGCGUGAGUGAUGAAGGUCUUCGGAUCGUAAAACUCUGUUAUUAGGGAAGAACAAUUGUGUAAGUAACUAUGCACGUCUUGACGGUACCUAAUCAGAAAGCCACGGCUAACUACGUG
RNAcentral lists this ribosomal RNA (497 nucleotides) under uncultured bacterium. RNAcentral's name for it is "partial 16S ribosomal RNA". It matches the Rfam family "Bacterial small subunit ribosomal RNA", at positions 29 to 507 of the family's 1533-position model. The record is from RNAcentral.